Molecule: ribosomal RNA, 495 nt
Filed under: uncultured bacterium
Lineage: Bacteria
Description: partial 16S ribosomal RNA
Rfam family: Bacterial small subunit ribosomal RNA
Source: RNAcentral
GACGAACGCUGGCGGCGUGCCUAAUACAUGCAAGUAGAACGCUGAAGGAGGAGCUUGCUUCUCUGGAUGAGUUGCGAACGGGUGAGUAACGCGUAGGUAACCUGCCUGGUAGCGGGGGAUAACUAUUGGAAACGAUAGCUAAUACCGCAUAAGAGUAGAUGUUGCAUGACAUUUGCUUAAAAGGUGCAAUUGCAUCACUACCAGAUGGACCUGCGUUGUAUUAGCUAGUUGGUGGGGUAACGGCUCACCAAGGCGACGAUACAUAGCCGACCUGAGAGGGUGAUCGGCCACACUGGGACGGAGACACGGCCCAGACUCCUACGGGAGGCAGCAGUAGGGAAUCUUCGGCAAUGGACGGAAGUCUGACCGAGCAACGCCGCGUGAGUGAAGAAGGUUUUCGGAUCGUAAAGCUCUGUUGUAAGAGAAGAACGAGUGUGAGAGUGGAAAGUUCACACUGUGACGGUAUCUUACCAGAAAGGGACGGCUAACUACGUG